RNAcentral lists this ribosomal RNA (494 nucleotides) under uncultured bacterium. RNAcentral's name for it is "partial 16S ribosomal RNA". It matches the Rfam family "Bacterial small subunit ribosomal RNA", at positions 28 to 507 of the family's 1533-position model. The record is from RNAcentral.
GACGAACGCUGGCGGCGUGCUUUAGGCAUGCAAGUCGAACGCGAAAGCCCCUUCGGGGGUGAGUAGAGUGGCGAACGGGUGAGUAACACGUGGGUAACCUGCCCCUCGCAGGGGGAUAACCGGGGGAAAUCCCGGCUAAUACCCCGUACGCUUGCUGGGGCGCAUGCUCCGGCAAGGAAAGGUAGCUUCGGCCAUCCGGCGAGGGCGGGGCCCGCGGCCCAUUAGCUAGUUGGGGGGGUAACGGCCCACCACGGGGACGCGGGGUAGCUGGCCUGAGAGGGGGGUCAGCCACACUGGGGCUGAGACACGGCCCAGACUCCUGCGGGAGGCAGCAGCCAUGAAGCUUGCGCAAGGGGCGAAAGCCUGGCGCAGCAACGCCGCGUGGGCGAUGAAGGCCUGCGGGUCGUAAAGCCCUGUUGUCGGGUACGAAGGGCGAAGGGUUAAUAGCCCCUAGCCUGACGGUACCCGACGAGGAAGCCCCGGCUAACUACGUG